AUGGCGGGGAGGUUUUGGGAGGGACAGAGUGAGGAAUCGGAUGAGGAAGAGGGGGAAUUGAGGAAGGGUGAGGUGGCGAUUCUGGAGAAGAGGCGCGGCGCUCCGGUGAGGGUGAGACUGCCUUUUGUGCCGCCGGUUCCGAUCACGGGGGUGAGAUGGCGCCAUCGGGUCAAGCAAUGGGCGCCAGGGGCGGUGAUCUCGUCACCACGGCCGCGUCCACAACCAUUCAGGUCAGGGGCGCGCUACAGAGAACCAUCAAUUCCUAAUCCGCCAACACUUGCGGGUUUUAUUUUGCAGGGAUUUCUGCAGCGAGAUUCCGCCAUUGAUGACGUCACAGGUGAAGCGGGGGACGAGUUUUUUUCGAAAGCUACUGGGCCUAGUGCUAUUUCUUCCCACUGGGCCUCGAGGGAAGCCAAACCCAAGCCACUGGGCUCGAUACAGUCGAUACUUCAAGGGUUGUGGCUGCCUAGGGUUAGGGGAAGCAUCCCGAAAGAUGCAACAGGUCGGGAGAGAGCGGCGGCAAGCACUGAAGCACAACAGAUGGCGAGCGGGGGGAGAGGGGACUGGCGUGAGCGCCGGGAUGGCUUCGGUGAAGGGCGAUCCAACUGGAGGGGGCGUGACCGGGCAUGGGGCGAGAAGCGGGGCGGCCAAUUUGGCCCGCCGACCAACUACGCCCCACAUGCGCCGCCGCCAGGAUCCGCACCACCGCCGGGGAAUGGUGCGCCUCCGUCAGGCUUCCCUGGUGGAUCUUCAGGCUUCAACACGUACCCGCAGUUUGUGCCGUAUCAGUUCCCGAGGGCGCCGCCUCCCCAAGGUAUGUUCAUGCCCAGCUCGCAGCAGUGGAGUGGUACUAGAACAGAGCAGGAAAAAUUUAGGAAGAAAGGGAAUGGACAUAGAGAAGUGAUGCCGCAGAAUAUGGGAUCGUUUGAGGGAGAUAGGAAUGCUGGAAAGUUGGCGCAGAAAGAAGCAGAUCAGAAAACUAGCAGCGUUGGCUCGGAUGGGAGUACUCGGGCAGGAAAAAGCGACGCCAAACCCACUGAACAAGCUGAAUCAAAGGGACAGGAAUGCUUUAGAUGUGGAGGGACCGAUCAUCUGGUUAGAGACUGUAAAGCACAAUUAACCUGCAUCAAUUGUGGAUUCAAUCAUUUGUCUGAAAGAUGUGUAAUGCUGAAUAGACCACACCCUGUUCUAAACAUGGCUGGUUGUGGAGCGGAUGGUUUGCAAAUGAUGAUUUCCCAAACAGGGAAGAAGAGAAAGUUUGAUAAAAGUGCUCAGAAUGUAGGAUUGGUGCAGAUUCUGAAAGGGAGCAUAAACUGCAGUGCGCUCGUUGUUGCCUUUGGAGCUCAGUUUCCUUGGGGAGGGGAGUGGAAAAUCAAGGAGUACGGUGAUAAUACUUAUCUUGCCAAAUUUCCUUCAGCUGCUAGAUUGCAAGAGAUGAUAGAAUACCCUAAGUUUGGCCUGAAAGGUACAAAAGUGACUGUGAAAGUAAGCAAAUGGAAUUCUGCCUCUGCUGCUAGAUUCAAGCUGUCUUCAGUUUGGGUGAGGAUUUUUGGUAUCCCUGAUACUUUGUUACACAAAGAUGGUUUUGAGGAAAUUGCCUCGUUCCUGGGAACUGUCCAGGAUGUGGAUAUGCAAGCUUACAGAGAUACUGAUAUUGUCAGGGCGAAAGUUGGAGUGAAAGACCCAAGCAAAAUACCUGAGGUGGUGGAACUAACUGUAGACCCAUACAUAUAUUACAUCUUUUUUGAGGUGGAGGAGAUUGUAGAACGUGGAUGGUGUGCUUAUUGCAGAAGAAGACGAUGA
This 1803-nucleotide ribosomal RNA is filed under the name Triticum aestivum (bread wheat). RNAcentral describes it as "partial small subunit ribosomal RNA". Lineage: Eukaryota; Viridiplantae; Streptophyta; Magnoliopsida; Poales; Poaceae. The record is from RNAcentral.